UCCUGACAAAAAGGAUUAACAUGUGAAUACCAUGAUUGCAUGAGGGAGAUAUAUCAUGAAAUCUUGUUUAGUAAUGAAUUGCUUAUUAUAAUGGAAGAUGGGCAAUGAAUGGUAAAAGCAGAUUCUUUCAAGUACCUUGAGAGACCAUUCCUCAAAACCAUGCCAGGGAUUGUUUUCGAGGUUCCUAUCUGCAAUAUACUGGAGGGAAAGAAAUGGUGUUAUGAAACAAUAUGAAUGGAUAAAGAUAAUAGAUAUUGCAUGUAGAGAAAUCGAGAAGCAAUACUUACACUGUGGAGAGUCUCGCCAGGAAGGCCAUUCAGGGAGGGGAAGGCUUCUCUAUCGAUAGAAAGUACUAUACUUGCAGCCUGCAUCUCUAACCAUUUAAUGUGAGGAACAAACUAGCUACUCACAAGAUCUGGAUCAAACAGAAGAAGUGCAUAAAAUGGAUGAAAACUAAACUUAUACCUGUGUGGCAUUCCUUACUUUCUUCUGUGACAUGUUCAGGGACUCGGCAAGUUUCUGAAAAGGAGAGAAGUUAGUCCCUUGUAAAAGAAUUCUACACAAUGUCUUGGGGGUUGAAGAGAGAGAGAUCAUUGUCAUGCUCAAGACCAUGAAGAAGAUAAGCUAGUUACGACCAGUGUUAUUGAAGCUUGAUAAAUCAGAACAGCCAAAAUGAUGAUGAAAUGACAAAAGAACUGGAAUAGCAUGAAAGGUUAUCUUGAUUAAUUUUGACCUCAAAAAUGCCCAGAAACAAGAUGUUGCAGUAAAACACGGCAUGAAAGUAAAAAGGGAAAACCAUUGAGCAGUAUGAUAAAGUUUAACUCACGUCAAUUGAUGGUGCAAUUCCCUUCUCUUCCAGUCUGAUCUUUGCAUGCCUAAUUGAACCGAGUCUUUCAUGUAAAUGAGCAGGCAGUCUUAAAGUCCUGGAGUUCUUGAACAAUGUUCUUGUGACACCCUGGUAAGAAGAAAGAUUUCUUCACUGUAGUCUGGAAUCAAAUUGAUGUUCAACAAUAGACUAAACAAUUGGACCAAAUAAGCAUGUAUAAUACUGCUGAAAUAGGAUCUUCCAUGAUAUAAGGCUCAGAGUUUGAAGGAUACUGAAGAGUACAUGUCUAAAAUCUUGUAAGGAGGAAGCACCAUGUCAUGAAGCAAAGCUUGAGCUAUGAAUUUAUUGUUUGCCUUGUUAUCAUUUCUGCUCGUGUGUAUACAAAUUCAGCUAACCUCCAUGAUCAUUCAUGUGUUGAACUGUAAAAUAUUACAGCUAAACAACUCACCUGCCGGAUCCACCAAUACACAUAAGUAGAAAUUUUGAAGCCCUUGGAAGCAUCAAACUUUUCUAUCCCACGAAGAAGCCCAAUCAAGCCACCCUGUGACACACGCAAUUAGUUUGGCAGUAGAAAGACUUGUAUGCCGGUGUGACGACAUGUAAAUCCAGGACUACUGUAAAGCCAGUAGAAUGGAGGUUUACCUGGAUAAGGUCGGCCAUUGCAGUCCCCAUGUUAUCAUACUUUUGGGCAAUAGACAUCACCAGACGGACAUUGCUCAUCGCAAGCUUCUCCCUUGCCAGAGAACACUCGAUCAUUUUUGUGUGCAGUUCAGCACGCAACAUCCUCAGUGAAGAAGCCAGUUGCUUGUCGGUUGGCUCAUAUCCCAUUUUUUCCUUCAGUCUGAAACCAAAGUAGUUCAGUCAUACAAUAAUCGGAAGAGGAGGAAGCAACAGCAAGAAAAUGACAAUAACAUGUGGUGUCAUCUACAUGAUUUAGAAAGCCAAAUUGAAGUUGAUUGUCUUAGAAAUGGUAAGCUGUGACCUUGUUGUAAAAGAGAGAACUUCAAUUAUAUAGAACAGGUUUCUUAGAGAGAAAAGUUGUCUUAGUUAGCAAGAGGAGGAACGAAGAAACAAAACUCGUUCCAUAGAUAGACUAAGGCUAUGCAGCUGUUCGCUUGUUCAACCUCAUCAAAUGAAUAUGUUCUGUACUUAUAAAGGAACAACCUCUCCUAAGCUCCAAAUACAGGCUAAAGGCACACAUGAUUGGUUCAACUAGUGCUAUUGAACAUGAGCACAAUGGUAAUUGCACUAGAUAAACAGAUCAUUGCUUCAUUUCUUGUUUGAUUAACUAAAAUAAAGCUAUAAACAAUGAUGUAAUUUGCAAAGUUCUUAGUCUUUCUCGAUGCUCAAACAAACAUAAAAUAUGAGAUGUUAAUCAACAAUUUUUCAUGAGAAAAAACUACCUACUUUGACCUGACCUGUGCUCCUCUAUAUAUAAAUGAAUGGCUUCUACAGUUAUAAAAGAACAAUCUCUUUUAGGACAUUAUGUGCUAAUAAUGCUCCAAAAAUAGGCAAAAAAAGCACUCGGUGGAGCUCACAAGUUUAACAAGAACAACUAUUGGACGAGCACAAUGGCAAUUGCACAAGAUAGACAGGUCAUUGGUAGAUUUCUUGUUUGGUCAAGUAGAAUAGAGCUAAAAUGAGGAUGUAAUUUGCUGAGUUCUUCCUCAGUCCCUAAUGUUCGAACAAACAUAAAACAUAAGAUGGUAAAUAACAACUUGAAUGAGAAAGAAUUACUUACCUUGACCUGUGUUCCUCUACACGCAUACCAGCUCUUAUUUUCUUCGACAGAUUCACGACCUCUGCAUGUGUAAGCAAGCUCUCACUGACGGUUCCUCUGACAUAACCACUAGCAUCGGAGUUAAGCAGCUCAGGGCUAACACAAGAUCGAAGCUGUCUCACUCUGCUUGCAGGUGCCAUGGCAUCCCUAUGACCAAUACAUUUCCUUCUCGAAAUCAUUCUCCUCUCACGAGCAGAUAUCCCGGAGCGAGCGAUUUCGGGCACCCGGCAGCCGUUUCCAGGAGCAGCAACAGUUGUCAUCUGCGUGAACGGGAGUUCCCAUUGCUUCUCCAACAUAGACUUCUGUAGCAAGAUGAGGGCCUCCAGAGAGGAUUCGAGAUCACUAGGUGAAGGGGCCAAGGUAUGGACAUGCUCUUUCAGUGCCUUGAUGAUCGGUACGUGUCUGGUCGGUGGGGCAUUCGGCCUGAAUGGGGAGGGCUUUUGUGCAACUACGACGGACUUCGUGGAGGCCGCUGGAAAUGGCAGCGUAGUUUGAUCCAGAAUGGGGAAUAACUUCUCGGCGAGGUCGGUGGGACAGAAUGAAGAGGUCAGAAGCCUCUUUCCCGUGCUUAAUCCAACGACUGCUGAUGUUGCCAUCAUCCAGCUUGAACUGCAGAUUGAUCACAGAAACAUCAAGAACGAGCCGUUUUCCACGCAAUUACCAACACGUACGACCUAAAAGGGCGGAAGAAAGCAGACGGACGGAACGAUCCGCACGAAAUACCAAAUCCAAUCGGCAUCCGAUCUCUAUAGGAGAGGGGGAUUGAGAAGGAAGAGGACGCACCAGAGCGUGACGAUCGCGGAGACGAGCGGUGAGAACUGAGCGAGAGGGGAGAAGCUGCUGCCGACGUGGUGGUUACUCCGUCUCUCUUCCUCCGGUAUAAUGUGUGUGCGUGAGCAAGGCAGGAGAUAUGGGAGGGAGAGGCGCCAUUGGUUGCAGGAGAUAUUUGGCGCGCGGCUCGUGGUUCUUGUGGCUCCAUGUGGGCGCCAACCCGACGACCCCAAGCCAAAGCUAAUGCUUGCGCCGUCGCUCUUGAUUGAGCUCGAAUCCGGUUUGGUUCGAUCAAGAUAGAUCUAAUUCGAGUCCAAUCUGCACUCCAGCAGAGUCCUGAUCUAAUUGGAUCCAUCUGAAACCCAAACAGCAUGUUAUGUUGUAUACGUAGUAUAGUCAUUUAUGUGCUACAACUUUGAUA
This is a long non-coding RNA of Musa acuminata AAA Group (dessert banana), 3798 nucleotides long. RefSeq lists it as uncharacterized. The transcript is spliced from 2 exons. Lineage: Eukaryota; Viridiplantae; Streptophyta; Magnoliopsida; Zingiberales; Musaceae. The record is from RefSeq and is a predicted model, not a curated record.